Molecule: ribosomal RNA, 119 nt
Filed under: Pteropus alecto (black flying fox)
Lineage: Eukaryota; Metazoa; Chordata; Mammalia; Chiroptera; Pteropodidae
Also listed under: 1 other name
Source: RNAcentral
GUUUACAGCCAAGCCGCCCUGAACGUGCCCGAUCCCGUCUGAUCUCGGAAGCUAAGCAGGGUCGGGCCUGGUUUGUACUUGGAUGGGAGACCACCUAGGAAGACCAGGUGCUGUAGGCG